RNAcentral lists this ribosomal RNA (375 nucleotides) under uncultured organism. RNAcentral's name for it is "partial 16S ribosomal RNA". It matches the Rfam family "Bacterial small subunit ribosomal RNA", at positions 527 to 896 of the family's 1533-position model. The record is from RNAcentral.
GUAGGUGGCAAGCGUUGUCCGGAAUUAUUGGGCGUAAAGCGCGCGCAGGCGGUUCUUUAAGUCUGAUGUGAAAGCCCACGGCUCAACCGUGGAGGGUCAUUGGAAACUGGAGAACUUGAGUACAGAAGAGGAAAGCGGAGUUCCACGUGUAGCGGUGAAAUGCGUAGAGAUGUGGAGGAACACCAGUGGCGAAGGCGGCUUUCUGGUCUGUAACUGACGCUGAGGCGCGAAAGCGUGGGGAGCAAACAGGGAUUAGAUACCCUGGUAGUCCACGCCGUAAACGAUGAGUGCUAAGUGUUAGGGGGGUUUCCGGCCCCCUUAGUGCUGCAGCUAACGCAUUAAGCACUCCGCCUGGGGAGUACGGCCGCAAGGCUG